GUUUGAUCCUGGCUCAGGACGAACGCUGGCGGCGUGCCUAAUACAUGCAAGUAGAACGCUGAAGGAGGAGCUUGCUUCUCUGGAUGAGUUGCGAACGGGUGAGUAACGCGUAGGUAACCUGCCUGGUAGCGGGGGAUAACUAUUGGAAACGAUAGCUAAUACCGCAUAAUAGUAGAUGUUGCAUGACAUUUACUUAAAAGGUGCAAUUGCAUCACUACCAGAUGGACCUGCGUUGUAUUAGCUAGUUGGUGGGGUAACGGCUCACCAAGGCGACGAUACAUAGCCGACCUGAGAGGGUGAUCGGCCACACUGGGACUGAGACACGGCCCAGACUCCUACGGGAGGCAGCAGUAGGGAAUCUUCGGCAAUGGACGGAAGUCUGACCGAGCAACGCCGCGUGAGUGAAGAAGGUUUUCGGAUCGUAAAGCUCUGUUGUAAGAGAAGAACGAGUGUGAGAGUGGAAAGUUCACACUGUGACGGUAUCUUACCAGAAAGGGACGGCUAACUACGUGCCAGCAGCCGCGGUAAUACGUAGGUCCCGAGCGUUGUCCGGAUUUAUUGGGCGUAAAGCGAGCGCAGGCGGUUAGAUAAGUCUGAAGUUAAAGGCUGUGGCUUAACCAUAGUACGCUUUGGAAACUGUUUAACUUGAGUGCAAGAGGGGAGAGUGGAAUUCCAUGUGUAGCGGUGAAAUGCGUAGAUAUAUGGAGGAACACCGGUGGCGAAAGCGGCUCUCUGGCUUGUAACUGACGCUGAGGCUCGAAAGCGUGGGGAGCAAACAGGAUUAGAUACUCUGGUAGUCCACGCCGUAAACGAUGAGUGCUAGUGUUAGACCCUUUCCGGGGUUUAGUGCCGUAGCUAACGCAUUAAGCACUCCGCCUGGGGAGUACGACCGCAAGGUUGAAACUCAAAGGAAUUGAUGAAUCACUAGUGCUGACGCUGCAG
Molecule: ribosomal RNA, 942 nt
Filed under: uncultured bacterium
Lineage: Bacteria
Description: bacterial SSU rRNA
Rfam family: Bacterial small subunit ribosomal RNA
Source: RNAcentral